UACGUAGGUGGCGAGCGUUGUCCGGAUUUACUGGGCGUAAAGAGCGCGCCGGCGGUCGUUCAAGUCGCGUGUGAAAGCCCCCGGCUCAACUGGGGAGGGUCACGCGAUACUGAUCGACUCGAAGGCAGGAGAGGGUAGUGGAAUUCCCGGUGUAGUGGUGAAAUGCGUAGAUAUCGGGAGGAACACCAGUGGCGAAGGCGACUACCUGGCCUGUUCUUGACGCUGAGGCGCGAAAGCUAGGGGAGCAAACGGG
RNAcentral lists this ribosomal RNA (253 nucleotides) under uncultured bacterium. Its description in RNAcentral is "partial 16S ribosomal RNA". It matches the Rfam family "Bacterial small subunit ribosomal RNA", at positions 524 to 776 of the family's 1533-position model. The record is from RNAcentral.